RNAcentral lists this ribosomal RNA (791 nucleotides) under uncultured archaeon. RNAcentral describes it as "bacterial SSU rRNA". It matches the Rfam family "Archaeal small subunit ribosomal RNA", at positions 85 to 879 of the family's 1478-position model. The record is from RNAcentral.
ACGGCUCAGUAACACGUAGUCAACAUGCCCAGGGGACGUGGAUAACCUCGGGAAACUGAGGAUAAACCACGAUAAGUCACUACUUCUGGAAUGGGUAAUGACUCAAAUCUACAUGGCCCCUGGAUUGGACUGCGGCCGAUCAGGCUGUUGGUGAGGUAAUGGCCCACCAAACCUGUAACCGGUACGGGCUCUGAGAGGAGGAGCCCGGAGAUGGGCACUGAGACAAGGGCCCAGGCCCUAUGGGGCGCAGCAGGCGCGAAACCUCUGCAAUAGGCGAAAGCCUGACAGGGUUACUCUGAGUGAUUUCCGUUAAGGAGAUCUUUUGGCACCUCUAAAAAUGGUGCAGAAUAAGGGGUGGGCAAGUCUGGUGUCAGCCGCCGCGGUAAUACCAGCACCCCGAGUGGUCGGGACGUUUAUUGGGCCUAAAGCAUCCGUAGCCGGUUCUACAAGUCUUCCGUUAAAUCCACCUGCUUAACAGAUGGGCUGCGGAAGAUACUAUAGAGCUAGGAGGCGGGAGAGGCAAGCGGUACUCGAUGGGUAGGGGUAAAAUCCGUUGAUCCAUUGAAGACCACCAGUGGCGAAGGCGGCUUGCCAGAACGCGCUCGACGGUGAGGGAUGAAAGCUGGGGGAGCAAACCGGAUUAGAUACCCGGGUAGUCCCAGCUGUAAACGAUGCAGACUCGGUGAUGAGUUGGCUUUAUGUCAACUCAGUGCCGCAGGGAAGCCGUUAAGUUUGCCGCCUGGGGAGUACGGUCGCAAGACUGAAACUUAAAGGAAUUGGCGGGGGAGCAC